AUGUAUAGAUCUUAAACAGAGAGUACAUCUCCAGUUGUGAAUAUCUAUAAUUGUUUUAAUGAAAACAUGAAAAUAUUUUAAAGAAAACCUCUGUUUAUCCAUAGUAUACAAAUAACAUAUGUUGCAGAUAGAACAAAAACCAUGACUUUCGCAACAUGUCCCACAGAGGGGAAGUGCUAAGGAAUGAUAUAUUUGACAGAGAUCGUGCUGUUAUUUUCUCACGCGUGGUACUAACUUGAAUUGCUUCAGAAAUUACCCAUCUGUAUAAUAAAUGAUUAAAUGAUAAAUAUAAAAAUAUAAUGCAGUACAGGUUUUGCUUACGGCACCUAAUGCAGCCUUUAUUGCUUUAUUUAAAUACAGCGGUGCAGACUUCACCAGCCAAGCCUGUCACCAUUGAGUCCAGUGUUGCUGGAGUGUGGGCUGUGAUCCGGUGGAUUCUCCUCUCCCUGAUGUUGGCUUGUUUUUUCACGGUCACCUGGUGGAAGAGGAGCACUUGCAGAAAGUCGGUGCCCGCUGCUGCACACACCCUGCAGGGGUCAGACUCAACGCGCUCCCAUGUCUCAUCUCAUUGUGCACCCAGGUCGUCCCCCAUGGAACUGAGAUGAACUUUGGCUCAGAUGCAUCGAUUUGCAGUCUGACAUUGACCCAGGGCAAAGUACAGUUUUGGUUUUCAAUCUGUGUACAACUGAAUUUUUAUAUAAAAGAGACUGGUAACCGUUUCUAAACAUCACCUGUCACCUGUACAUGUACUCUUUGCAUUGUGUUGUGGUUAUAGCAUCAUAAUUUGGUUUUGCUAUUCUAAAUCACUUGGAUAUUAUAUUGUGUUGUGUCAAUCACAUGAUGAAAAAUGGAGGUAAGAGACUGCUAAGGGCUUCCUUUGCGAUUGUACAUAUUAAUAAUUUCAAUCCUGAAUUUUUGUCUUAUUGUUUUAUUUAUUUUUACAUUAAUUUGCAGCUGAUCCACUUUAUUGUAGUGGAUCCAUGAGCUCCAAGAAAAUGGCUCUGUGAUCAAACUAACAAAAAAAAUGAUUUGUGAGUGAAACCUUCAAUAUAUUAAAUAAAAUCCGUAAUCAUACUAACAA
Anguilla rostrata (American eel) is the source of this 1081-nucleotide long non-coding RNA. RefSeq lists it as uncharacterized. The transcript has 2 exons. NCBI's taxonomy places the organism in Eukaryota, Metazoa, Chordata, Actinopteri, Anguilliformes, Anguillidae. The record is from RefSeq and is a predicted model, not a curated record.